GGUUGUGUAGUGUAGUGGUUAUCACUCUGGAUUUUGACUACGCGUCUCACCUUCCAGUAACCCCGGUUCGAACCGCGGGCACGACCU
Molecule: transfer RNA, 87 nt
Organism: Chaetomium globosum CBS 148.51
Lineage: Eukaryota; Fungi; Ascomycota; Sordariomycetes; Sordariales; Chaetomiaceae
Rfam family: tRNA
About the family: Transfer RNA (tRNA) molecules are approximately 80 nucleotides in length. Their secondary structure includes four short double-helical elements and three loops (D, anti-codon, and T loops).
Source: Rfam